GUAAAAUUUUACAAUUUGAUAAAAAAUAUGUAUAAGAAUACUGAUGAAGCUUCAGUAAAAUUAAAGGAGAAUAUAUCUGAAUAUGUCUCUAUUGACAGAGGAGUGAAACAAGGGGAUAAUAUGAGUCCAAACUUAUUUAAUGUUUAUAUAAAUGAUCUACCAGAAAUAUUUGAUGAAAGUUGUAAACCAGUGACUCUGCAAAAUAUGUCAAUCAGCUGCCUUAUGUUUGCAGAUGACAUUUUGUUAUUAUCUGAAACUCCUGAAG
This 265-nucleotide long non-coding RNA is filed under the name Mytilus galloprovincialis (Mediterranean mussel). The record is from RNAcentral. Lineage: Eukaryota; Metazoa; Mollusca; Bivalvia; Mytilida; Mytilidae.